CAGACUGCAGCAUGAGGACUGGGU
Molecule: non-coding RNA, 24 nt
Filed under: Cricetulus griseus (Chinese hamster)
Lineage: Eukaryota; Metazoa; Chordata; Mammalia; Rodentia; Cricetidae
Source: RNAcentral